RNAcentral lists this unclassified non-coding RNA (778 nucleotides) under Hevea brasiliensis (rubber tree). The record is from RNAcentral. Lineage: Eukaryota; Viridiplantae; Streptophyta; Magnoliopsida; Malpighiales; Euphorbiaceae.
AGGCAAAUUCAGUGUUGCCAUAGAAUCUAGAAAGCAUGAAGCAAGUCUUCCUAGACCACCGUUUCCAAGUGCUGCAUCUUUUUCCUACAUAUAAUCAUUAGUGGAAUGCAUGUUGGGAAUGAGUACAGGUCAAUGUUUAAGUAAACUUGAAUUAUAAUUAAGAAUCACAGUUUGUUGGUCUGACUUUAACAGGAUAUAUUUUAUUAGACACCUUGAAAUCAGAAUGGGGUCUCUGGUUAUUGAUUGAUGGCCACAUGCCAGCAAGGUGCCAUAACCAUUUGUACAACAGCAAAAAAGAGAAAACCAUUUUGACCAUGACCAACAAUAUGAAAUAAGUUUUCACAAGGACAAGAUUUAACAAAUGAGAAACCAGUUUUCAACUCUUUUUCUUUCACUUUUUUGGAUUUGUGGUUCUCAACCAGUUAUUCUUACUAAGAUAAACAAUAACCCAAGGUAACGGUUAUGAAAUUCUUGUGAUCAGAAUCUACUAAUAAGCAAAGCUUAAUUGCAACACAUAAAGACAAAACAAAAAGAAAAGUACAAGUAAUAUAGUUCCAUGAAAUGGGCUACAACAUGGAUAUAGGCUCUUGAAAACAUGCCUAUAUGCAAAGAAUGCCGCAAUUGGAUUACCUGCUCAACUAUUUCCUCAAGUUCAUGUCCCAACUUACUUAAAGCAUCAGCAUAUGCACCUUGAAUAUUCAGGUUCCCAAUUGCAUUAGUCAAAGCUCGUCCUUGAAGAAAUUCCAUUGAUAAGUGUCUGCUUUGGAUCAACUUUGUG